Molecule: transfer RNA, 91 nt
Rfam family: tRNA
About the family: Transfer RNA (tRNA) molecules are approximately 80 nucleotides in length.
GGAGGCGUCGCCUAGUCCGGUCUAUGGCGCCCGCCUGCUAAGCGGGUUGAGGGUUACAACCCUCUCGCGAGUUCAAAUCUCGCCGCCUCCG